CACAUGCUAUAGGUCCACCUUUGGGAUAUAUCUGUUGUGCCUUGCUAAUAAAUCUCUGGUGGUCUUCAGAGACCGGCAGGUUACAUUCACCAACUUUAGUUGUUGUAUUGUCGAGUGCUUGAUCAUUGGUAUGUAAUAUAACUGCAUGGUAGUCUCUUUGAUGUGAAUGAUCUGUUGCUUCAGACUGUUUUCUGCUAUCAGGACUUUGUUGCUGCGUGGACAUG
Rhincodon typus (whale shark) is the source of this 224-nucleotide small nucleolar RNA. RefSeq annotates it as small nucleolar RNA SNORA53. The transcript has a single exon. Lineage: Eukaryota; Metazoa; Chordata; Chondrichthyes; Orectolobiformes; Rhincodontidae. The record is from RefSeq and is a predicted model, not a curated record.